This 720-nucleotide ribosomal RNA is filed under the name uncultured organism. RNAcentral's name for it is "bacterial SSU rRNA". It matches the Rfam family "Bacterial small subunit ribosomal RNA", at positions 48 to 788 of the family's 1533-position model. The record is from RNAcentral.
CUUAUGCAUGCAAGUCGAGCGAUGAGGCCUCUUCGGGGGGUAAUCAGCGGCAGACGGGUGAGUAACACGUAGGUGAUCUACCCCAGAGACGGGGAUAACGGGUGGAAACAUCCGCUAAUACCGGAUAGACUUGUUCGGUCAAAGGGACAAGGAAAGGCUCCGGCGCUCUGGGAGGAGCCUGCGGCCCAUCAGCUAGUUGGCGGGGUAACGGCCCACCAAGGCAAAGACGGGUAGGGGGUGUGAGAGCAUGGCCCCCCACAAUGGGACUGGAACACGGCCCAUACUCCUACGGGAGGCAGCAGCAGGGAAUAUUGCACAAUGGACGGAAGUCUGAUGCAGCGACGCCGCGUGGAUGAAGAAGGCCCUCGGGUUGUAAAAUCCUUUACAGGGGGAAGAGGAAGGACGGUACCCCUGGAACAAGUGUCGGCUAACUACGUGCCAGCAGCCGCGGUAAGACGUAGGACACAAGCGUUAUCCGGAUUUACUGGGCGUAAAGCGUCUGCAGGCGGACAGGUAAGUUGGGCGUGAAAGCUCCGGGCCCAAACCGGAGAGGUCGUUCAAUACUGCGUGUCUAGAGGGUGUCAGAAGGGGAGUGGAAUUUCCGGAGUAGCGGUAAAAUGCGCAGAGAUCGGAGAGAACACCAAUGGCGAAGGCAGCUCCCUGGGGCAACCCUGACGCUAAGAGACGAAAGCUAGGGGAGCGAACAGGAUUAGAGAACCC